Molecule: long non-coding RNA, 884 nt
Organism: Mus musculus (house mouse)
Lineage: Eukaryota; Metazoa; Chordata; Mammalia; Rodentia; Muridae
Product: predicted gene 29012
Exons: 3
Source: RefSeq, marked validated
ACACUGCUAUUCCCCUUUCACCUAAAUCCCUCUGUGCACAGCAACUGAAAGCCUGAUAACCAUUAAAACAACCAACACCAAAGAGCCUUAAACCUCUGCUGAGUUCCCUUUCUUGAGUGUCCUUGAGUGUCCACACCUGGACACUGUAGUUGGUGUCUUUAAUCUGUAUCUGAGAUAAAACAGAAUGUUUCAGAGAGGUGGAGAAGAGGUUGGGUUCUCACUAGCUGAGAAAUCCCAGAAAAAUGGCCUGGCCUGAUUUCUGAAGAUAGAGAAGCCCUGAGCAUGCAAAAAAUGCUCAGCACCUGGAUUGGAAGUCCCCCCAAAGGCAGAAUUUGUCCUUGCUUGUCAUAUCAGGCUCAAAGCAGCAUGGAUUCCAGACACAAUGUCAGCUCUAGGUCUUUAUAACAGAAGUGCUAAGAACCAUGUAGAAACACUGCCCCCCGAGAAUCUGAGUUUGUCUUCUCUGGCUUGUUUGGAGGGUCAGCAUCCAUCCAAAAGUAUUGUUCCUUCCUCUGUCUCUGUCACCACAAAUUUUGUUUUUUCUAACAUUUUAUUAUAAAAUGUCUUAAAUACACAAGAACACAGGAGGAGUGAGGAGAUUUCACCCUGAACAUUAAUAUCUUACUUUCCUGGUUUCUAACAUAUCUAUCACCUAUCCAUCUUUCUAUGGAAUCUUGGGGUGGGGUGCAUGUCCCUGUGCAUGUUUCAAAGUAAAUUAUAAACCCAAUUCUAUCAUCCUCAUACCCUCACAUUUAACUCUUUUUCCUCUUGCCACAGUUUUCUUUAAACAAGGUCAUUCCUCUCCAGAAAUAAUUUUGAAAUGAAUUUACAUAAUCUUCCAGGAAGAAAGCCUACCCAAAACAAUAAAGUUUGUCAUCUCUCUA